This 818-nucleotide long non-coding RNA is filed under the name Anser brachyrhynchus (Pink-footed goose). RNAcentral's name for it is "lncRNA (ENSABRG00000005771.1)". The record is from RNAcentral. Lineage: Eukaryota; Metazoa; Chordata; Aves; Anseriformes; Anatidae.
GAAACAUAUGCCAUACACAUGUUUUUGAAAAUGUAGAUAAGGAAAACAGAUAACAAAUAGUAUUAUGUAGACAGCUCUUUCCACAAGACUCAUCAAAACUUCCAUUACAGUUUUCAGUAGCGCCAGAAAGCAGUUGUGUCCCUUGGCCCAGUGAAGAACGUAAAACUGAGGUGCCUGUGUCCUUUCCAUUGCACUACCACUGUCCUGAUGGAUUUCAUCUCCUCUUCUCUUUAACAGUCUGGGGACAGGGAUCACUGCCUGUGGAGAAGGCAUGCAUGGCACGACAGGGCUCAGAUCUUUGUACCAGCCUGCAGCUGCUUCUGUGACAAGUGCAGCAUCUAUGAAGCCUGCUCAUCUGUGGAAAGCACAAAGCUACUAACCAGUGCUAAAGGAGGAGAGCAAGGCAACACUCCAGUUCUCCAAGAAAAAACAAAGUAUAAAAGCAAACUCGAGAAUUACUGACAAACCUAAAAGAUAUUUCAAAUGGUGGGAAGAUGGCAUCCAGCUGAUAUAAGAGAAGGAACGAACAACCCUGCAAACCACUGGCAUGUGUAUAUCGACAUCCAAAAAUACACCCGGACAGCGCAUCUGAAAACUGCGUGUAAGAGAAGGAGGAUGGCUCUCCCCAAACCUUGUAUUCUGCUGGACCUGAUGCGUGGGCCUGUGGCAGCGCUGCUCUGUGUCAGGAGCCUAACCCCAUGCAAAGCCUCUGAAGGUACAAAGUUAAAAUCCUUACUCUCCUCUGGCUGACUGUGCACGAGUUAUUCUUCUGCUAUUGUGCAAAUAAAGUGGCAUUAAGAGAUGGAGGGUAGAAUGCU